CAGUCGAACGGAACUGUUUUGAAAGAUUUCUUCGGAAUGAAUUUGAUUUAGUUUAGUGGCGGACGGGUGAGUAACGCGUGAGUAACCUGCCUUCAAGAGGGGGAUAACAUUCUGAAAAGAAUGCUAAUACCGCAUGACAUAUCGGAAUCACAUGGUUUUGAUAUCAAAGAUUUUAUCGCUUGAAGAUGGACUCGCGUCCGAUUAGUUAGUUGGUGAGGUAACGGCUCACCAAGACCGCGAUCGGUAGCCGGACUGAGAGGUUGAACGGCCACAUUGGGACUGAGACACGGCCCAGACUCCUACGGGAGGCAGCAGUGGGGGAUAUUGCGCAAUGGAGGCAACCCUGACGCAGCAACGCCGCGUGAAGGAUGAAGGUUUUCGGAUUGUAAACUUCUUUUAUUAAGGACGAAACUUGACGGUACUUAAUGAAUAAGCUCCGGCUAACUACGUGCCAGCAGCCGCGGUAAUACGUAGGGAGCAAGCGUUGUCCGGAUUUACUGGGUGUAAAGGGUGCGUAGGCGGCUUUGCAAGUCAGAUGUGAAAUCUAUGGGCUCAACCCAUAAACUGCAUUUGAAACUGUAGAGCUUGAGUGAAGUAGAGGCAGGCGGAAUUCCCCGUGUAGCGGUGAAAUGCGUAGAGAUGGGGAGGAACACCAGUGGCGAAGGCGGCCUGCUGGGCUUUAACUGACGCUGA
This 693-nucleotide ribosomal RNA is filed under the name uncultured bacterium. RNAcentral describes it as "bacterial SSU rRNA". It matches the Rfam family "Bacterial small subunit ribosomal RNA", at positions 59 to 749 of the family's 1533-position model. The record is from RNAcentral.